CUUCAGCGAGCCCAGCCACAGCGGCGAGGACUCCGGACGGUCCUGCCCGUAGGUGCUGAGCAGCGCCUGGGCCUC
This 75-nucleotide antisense RNA is filed under the name Saccharothrix sp. ST-888. Its description in RNAcentral is "ASpks TB sRNA". It matches the Rfam family "ASpks TB sRNA". Lineage: Bacteria; Bacillati; Actinomycetota; Actinomycetes; Pseudonocardiales; Pseudonocardiaceae. The record is from Rfam by way of RNAcentral.